Molecule: transfer-messenger RNA, 400 nt
Filed under: Halpernia humi
Lineage: Bacteria; Pseudomonadati; Bacteroidota; Flavobacteriia; Flavobacteriales; Weeksellaceae
Description: Standard tmRNA
Rfam family: transfer-messenger RNA
About the family: Bacterial tmRNA, also known as 10Sa RNA or SsrA, is named for its dual tRNA and mRNA-like properties. Its role is to liberate the mRNA from a stalled ribosome.
Source: RNAcentral
GGGGUUGACUGGUUUCGACAGCAAGAUCGAUGGGUAAGUAAGCAUGCAGAGAACCGUAGCGCGAUCUCUUUAAUCCCUUGCUACACAAUUUUAACUGGCGACCAAGAGUUUGCUCUUGCAGCAUAAUCUGAAUUAUAGUAGGAUUUUGCGCUUUCCCGAAGUAUAGUAAGGAAGCAAGAUGUCUCCCAAAUGCUUCGUUCUGCGGCGUUUGAUUUUGAGGCAUAGCAAUGCGGAAAUAAGUUCUGAAAGACUUCGGUUCAGGAUCGAAAACCAAAGAAGAUAAGUUGCGAAUUGGGUGUCUGUGCUCUGUUUGCAAUCGAAAAAUAAUUACAGAAUAAGCAUGUAGAAAUCUUACGUAUUGCUUGUUUGGACGAGGGUUCGAAUCCCUCCAACUCCACCA